CGCACGGGUGAGUAACACGUAUGCAACCUGGCCGUCACAGGUGGAUAACCGGAAGAAAUUCCGACUAAUACAGCAUAACACUCCUGAGGGACAUCCUUCGGGAGUCAAAGGAGGCAACUCCGGUGACGGAUGGGCAUGCGGCGCAUUAGGUAGUUGGUGGGGCAACGGCCCACCAAGCCGACGAUGCGUAGGGGUUCUGAGAGGAAGGUCCCCCACAUUGGAACUGAGACACGGUCCAAACUCCUACGGAAGGCAGCAG
Molecule: ribosomal RNA, 259 nt
Filed under: uncultured bacterium
Lineage: Bacteria
Description: partial 16S ribosomal RNA
Rfam family: Bacterial small subunit ribosomal RNA
Source: RNAcentral